This 520-nucleotide ribosomal RNA is filed under the name uncultured bacterium. RNAcentral describes it as "bacterial SSU rRNA". It matches the Rfam family "Bacterial small subunit ribosomal RNA", at positions 8 to 518 of the family's 1533-position model. The record is from RNAcentral.
AGGGUUCGAUUCUGGCUCAGGAUGAACGCUAGCUACAGGCUUAACACAUGCAAGUCGAGGGGCAGCAUAUCGAAAGCUUGCUUUGAUGAUGGCGACCGGCGCACGGGUGAGUAACGCGUAUCCAACCUUCCCUAUACUAGAGGAUAGCUCGGCGAAAGUCGGAUUAAUACUCUAUGUUCUUCGUAGAAGACAUCUGAAAUGAAGCAAAGGUUUACCGGUAUAGGAUGGGGAUGCGUCUGAUUAGGUUGUUGGCGGGGUAACGGCCCACCAAGCCCACGAUCAGUAGGGGUUCUGAGAGGAAGGUCCCCCACAUUGGAACUGAGACACGGUCCAAACUCCUACGGGAGGCAGCAGUGAGGAAUAUUGGUCAAUGGACGAGAGUCUGAACCAGCCAAGUAGCCGUGCAGGAUGACGGCCCUAUGGGUUGUAAACUGCUUUUAUACAGGGAUAAAGUGACGUACGUGUACGUUUUGUAGGUACUGUAUGAAUAAGGACCGGCUAAUUCCGUGCCAGCCGCGGC